Leopardus geoffroyi (Geoffroy's cat) is the source of this 1074-nucleotide long non-coding RNA. RefSeq lists it as uncharacterized. NCBI's taxonomy places the organism in Eukaryota, Metazoa, Chordata, Mammalia, Carnivora, Felidae. The transcript has 2 exons. The record is from RefSeq and is a predicted model, not a curated record.
AGCGGCCUGGGGCGUUAUGAGCCAUUGUUCCGGGGAUCCAAGCCCUACCACCACGCCCCCCCUUCCUGCGGUCACCCACCGCGCGCUGGGGGGUUGCGCUCGUUAAUCAUUACUGGGCAGCUAGCUCGGCUUCCGACGGAGGAGCCGGUCUGGCGCGGUUGCCGGGUCUAGGUGCAUUCUGGGCGCGCGGAGCCGGGCGGGCUGUCCCCACCAGCGGCGUGUCGUGGGGAAGUCCUACCGCAAGGCCUGCGGGGGCCCGCGCAGGCUCCGCGAUCAGCUACGGUAGACUAGAGAGGCCUUUCAGAGGGGAGCCUUCGGUCUCACCCUGACAACCCCCUCCACUGCGGGUCGCAGGGCACUAGCGAGCACCAGCUGCGCCUGCGCGCUGCGCUCCUGGCCAGCACCCGGUCGCCCCCGCCUCCUGGCUCAGCUGGCGCUGGGCGUUGGGCUACCCUGAGGUCGGGUGGGGGGCCGAAAGCGGGCCUCUGGGGUUCCGACGCGGCCUGGGGGUGGGUAAGAGGCGAGGAGGAGUGCCUGCCGGGACCCCUUGCUCCACGGAGGGCUGGGAGUCGCAGGGAACGUCUCGGCCGCUCUGCAGGGCCAGCAGGCCUUCCCACCCCAAGACGUUCCAGUCACUGGGUCCUGGGGGCGAGGCAAGACGCUCUGCGGUAGAACUGCGAAGGGUAAAAUCUUUCAGCCUGGGAUCUCCAAGAGAAGAGACAGGGAGGGAAGUCGGUUGUUACUUCGCUAUUGUAAAAGUGCACUGCCUGGGCAUGAAUUUGGGAGGAUAACCGCAACACUUCUCAAACCUGAAGACAGAGACGCUUAGUUUGACCUAUGCUUCCGAAUCCUACAUCAACGGAAUGUCAGUUCUUCUCAGCACUUUCUAGAAAAUGCCAUUCGGACCACUCGGUUCUAAGAAGAGGGGCGUAAAGGGUCUUUGAAGCGUGGUGGCCAGGGUUGAAAUUGUGCCCCAAUCACUUCCUAAACGCGUGGCCUUGGUUAAGUCAUCUUUUGUAAACCUCAUCUUCCAUGUGGCAUAAUGAAGAUAAUAAAAAUAUCCACUUCGUAGGU